Molecule: unclassified non-coding RNA, 211 nt
Filed under: Hevea brasiliensis (rubber tree)
Lineage: Eukaryota; Viridiplantae; Streptophyta; Magnoliopsida; Malpighiales; Euphorbiaceae
Source: RNAcentral
AAAGAACGAAAUGGUGAGAUUAGCAGCUCUGAUACAUCAGAGAGUCCUGGUUCUGCUACUGCAGAAGAAACAAAAUCCACUCCUUCCAGAAGCAGGAGGCAUUCUGUAUCGUAGUCACAAAUGCACAUGAGCUGAACUAGAUUAUGGAUCUCUUGGCUUGUAAAAUUAUCACUUAAUUGACCAUCAGGAAAUUAGAAGAACCCACAUCGUC